GAAGGUGUGCUGUGAGGCAUGCUGGAGGUAUCAGAAGUGCGAAUGCUGACAUAAGUAACGAUAAAGCGGGUGAAAAGCCCGCUCGCCGGAAGACCAAGGGUUCCUGUCCAACGUUAAUCGGGGCAGGGUGAGUCGACCCCUAAGGCGAGGCCGAAAGGCGUAGUCGAUGGGAAACAGGUUAAUAUUCCUGUACUUGGUGUUACUGCGAAGGGGGGACGGAGAAGGCUAUGUUGGCCGGGCGACGGUUGUCCCGGUUUAAGCGUGUAGGCUGGUUUUCCAGGCAAAUCCGGAAAAUCAAGGCUGAGGCGUGAUGACGAGGCACUACGGUGCUGAAGCAACAAAUGCCCUGCUUCCAGGAAAAGCCUCUAAGCAUCAGGUAACAUCAAAUCGUACCCCAAACCGACACAGGUGGUCAGGUAGAGAAUACCAAGGCGCUUGAGAGAACUCGGGUGAAGGAACUAGGCAAAAUGGUGCCGUAACUUCGGGAGAAGGCACGCUGAUAUGUAGGUGAAGCGACUUGCUCGUGGAGCUGAAAUCAGUCGAAGAUACCAGCUGGCUGCAACUGUUUAUUAAAAACACAGCACUGUGCAAACACGAAAGUGGACGUAUACGGUGUGACGCCUGCCCGGUGCCGGAAGGUUAAUUGAUGGGGUCAGCGCAAGCGAAGCUCUUGAUCGAAGCCCCGGUAAACGGCGGCCGUAACUAUAACGGUCCUAAGGUAGCGAAAUUCCUUGUCGGGUAAGUUCCGACCUGCACGAAUGGCGUAAUGAUGGCCAGGCUGUCUCCACCCGAGACUCAGUGAAAUUGAACUCGCUGUGAAGAUGCAGUGUACCCGCGGCAAGACGGAAAGACCCCGUGAACCUUUACUAUAGCUUGACACUGAACAUUGAGCCUUGAUGUGUAGGAUAGGUGGGAGGCUUUGAAGUGUGGACGCCAGUCUGCAUGGAGCCGACCUUGAAAUACCACCCUUUAAUGUUUGAUGUUCUAACGUUGACCCGUGAUCCGGGUUGCGGACAGUGUCUGGUGGGUAGUUUGACUGGGGCGGUCUCCUCCUAAAGAGUAACGGAGGAGCACGAAGGUUGGCUAAUCCUGGUCGGACAUCAGGAGGUUAGUGCAAUGGCAUAAGCCAGCUUGACUGCGAGCGUGACGGCGCGAGCAGGUGCGAAAGCAGGUCAUAGUGAUCCGGUGGUUCUGAAUGGAAGGGCCAUCGCUCAACGGAUAAAAGGUACUCCGGGGAUAACAGGCUGAUACCGCCCAAGAGUUCAUAUCGACGGCGGUGUUUGGCACCUCGAUGUCGGCUCAUCACAUCCUGGGGCUGAAGUAGGUCCCAAGGGUAUGGCUGUUCGCCAUUUAAAGUGGUACGCGAGCUGGGUUUAGAACGUCGUGAGACAGUUCGGUCCCUAUCUGCCGUGGGCGCUGGAGAACUGAGGGGGGCUGCUCCUAGUACGAGAGGACCGGAGUGGACGCAUCACUGGUGUUCGGGUUGUCAUGCCAAUGGCACUGCCCGGUAGCUAAAUGCGGAAGAGAUAAGUGCUGAAAGCAUCUAAGCACGAAACUUGCCCCGAGAUGAGUUCUCCCUGACUCCUUGAGAGUCCUGAAGGAACGUUGAAGACGACGACGUUGAUAGGCCGGGUGUGUAAGCGCAGCGAUGCGUUGAGCUAACCGGUACUAAUGAACCGUGAGGCUUAACCUUACAACGCCGAAGCUGUU
RNAcentral lists this ribosomal RNA (1710 nucleotides) under Escherichia coli. Its description in RNAcentral is "partial 23S ribosomal RNA". It matches the Rfam family "Bacterial large subunit ribosomal RNA", at positions 1252 to 2925 of the family's 2925-position model. The record is from RNAcentral. Lineage: Bacteria; Pseudomonadati; Pseudomonadota; Gammaproteobacteria; Enterobacterales; Enterobacteriaceae.